RNAcentral lists this transfer RNA (74 nucleotides) under Candidatus Woesearchaeota archaeon. Its description in RNAcentral is "tRNA-Pro". It matches the Rfam family "tRNA". Rfam says of the family: Transfer RNA (tRNA) molecules are approximately 80 nucleotides in length. Their secondary structure includes four short double-helical elements and three loops (D, anti-codon, and T loops). The record is from RNAcentral. Lineage: Archaea; Nanobdellati; Candidatus Woesearchaeota.
GGGGCUGUAGUGUAACUUGGUUAUCAUACGAGGCUGGGGGUCUCGUGAUCACGGUUCAAAUCCGUGCAGCCCCA